This 274-nucleotide ribosomal RNA is filed under the name uncultured bacterium. RNAcentral's name for it is "partial 16S ribosomal RNA". It matches the Rfam family "Bacterial small subunit ribosomal RNA", at positions 523 to 796 of the family's 1533-position model. The record is from RNAcentral.
CUACGGAGGGUGCAAGCGUUAUUCGGAAUCACUGGGCGUAAAGGACGCGUAGGCGGGUUGGCAAGUCAGAUGUGAAAUCCUACAGCUUAACUGUAGAACUGUAUUUGAAACUGCUAACCUAGAGUAUGGGAGGGGGAGAUGGAAUUAGUGGUGUAGGGGUAAAAUCCGUAGAUAUCACUAGGAAUACCGAAAGCGAAGGCGAUCUCCUGGAACAUAACUGACGCUAAGGCGUGAAAGCGUGGGGAGCAAACAGGAUUAGAAACCCUAGUAGUCC